UGUUUCUCAGAGUUUUCUCUUCAGUUGUGAAGAGCUCGGGGUAAAGAUGUUGUGCUCGAUCUAAGGAGCGUGUUGGUGAAAGUGAAAGCUAAAUAUCGUGAUCGGAACUGUGUUCGCGUAGCUUCAUUUUUGCUUUCGUUUAUCUAAGAAAGGAUGUUUCGGACACACUCUUUCAUCACUAGAUGACGGGUGUGUGUUUCUACAUUACUGGUCCAGCACAUGGAGGAUCUGUUCACACGGAUGAAAUGAAGACCAGAGUAGAUACAGAUGUGCCAAAGCAAAGAUGUCUCCUCCUGGACUCUGAAGAGAAUAAACUGAAGAGAUCUCGGACACUUCUUAGUCAAAGCAGUGUUGGCUUCUGUGGGACUCAGUUGUCCAGCAUAGAGUCGUCUGUUCGGCCGUCCUUAGCUUCAGUAAAUCAGAUGGAAGAGGACAUUAAAAAGAUGGAGAUCAAGGAUCCAGCUGACAGAUCAUCAGUCUCUCACACACAGAAGGACAGACAAAGACAAACUAACCAAGAUUCUUGUCCGUACAGGGGUCUGCUGAAUCUGGGAGCCACCUGCUAUCUGAACUCAACCCUCCAGGUGCUGUUCAUGACCCGAGCGUUCAGAGAGAGCGUGCUGCGCCGAUCUCCUGGGGACACAAGUGAGAAGUUCGAGACAGUAUUAAAGGAACUGUUUGAAGAGCUCAGUGAUCAGGACGAGGGUGCUCCGAGCGUCUCAACGAAACCAGUAAUCAAGGCUCUCGGUGUACAGACACUCUAUGAGCAGCAGGACGCUGUGGAAUACUUCCUAGAUAUCCUUGAGAAAGUAGGCCCUGAUUUGGCCGAGGUCUUCAGUGGAACUAUGAGGAACAAGAGGAGAUGUUCAGAAGAUCACGAGUCUCAUGAUGACAGCUCGUUCAAGUCUCUACAGAUCGCUCUGAACGUCACAGACACAGGAGCGUACAGGAUAGAAGACGGGGUUCGAUCUUAUUUUGAAUCUACAACAUUAGUUGGAGACGACCAGAUGUACUGUGAAACCUGCGACGAGAAACGAGACACCACAUGGGGUUGUGAGAUACACAAGUAUCCAGCAAUACUGUCUCUGCACCUGAAAAGGUUUGAGUAUGACUGCUGGUCGUGUGGGUUUGAGAAGAACGAUUGCCCCAUGGAUGUACCGCUUCAUUUAUCUCUCGGGGAGCACAGAUAUGCUCUCUAUGCCGUGAUCAAUCACAGGGGCAGUCGUUCUGGGGGUCACUACACCGCGGACAUCCGCUCGUUCACUGAGAACAGGUGGUACUGUUUUGAUGACAGUCAUGUCACAGAGAUUGAUGAGCGCAAACUGGAAAGGUCUAGGGAAGCUUACUUGCUCUUGUACCAGAAACUCGACAGUCCUCCAGUUUCUAAGACGAGGAAAGUAACCCAGAAUUCUGCCAGAACUGAAGAACCAUCUUCGUCAGUUGCACGGGUGGAGGACGAAGAAGAACCCAAAACUAAAUCUGCUGAAGCAGGAGAACCGGUGGAAACGGGCAGAGCUGGGCAGUGUGCUGCAGCUCAUAAUAAACCACAUCUGGAAGAGUCUGCUGUGACGCGGCGUCUGAGACAGAGACUUUGUGAUGAGCCCAAGAAACCACAUAAAAGAAAGCACGAGAAAACUGAGAGCAUGCAUAAAAAGGAGAAAGCCAGUAAAAGAAAUGUCAAGUCUAAUCACGAAGAGACAGAGACGAGAGAGAUCGACAUCAGAAGCAGAAAGAUGUAACAUAUCAUGAAGAAAAGAGACAAAACUGUGUGUGAUAAUUUGUAAAAGUUUUAAUUAAUGUGCAUUCAGUUUAAAAUGUGAAUCAUAGUUUAUGUACAUGUGUACAGGAACUGCUGAUCUGUUAAAUAUUAUAUAAUGUCUGUACUCGGACAUCGAAAUCCCAAGGGUUUCUCUCCAUUUUCUAUCACCGAAGUUGACUGAUUGCACGGACACUAUUGGACGAGAGCUGAACUGGAUGAUGACAUCACUGAAUCAUUCGUCAUCAGUUCGUUCACCAGUUUCUGCUCUGAUUUAUAAUUCUCCAUGUAUCUUACGAAAGCGUAUUGUAUUCGUCAAACAAGCAACUAUCACCAGUCAACUACUUCAACUACUGUGAUGCAGAUUUACAGCUGUUCACAGAAAAUAAAACUGGUAUCUCACUGAUAUAUAUAUACUGU
Molecule: RNA transcript, 2176 nt
Organism: Carassius gibelio (silver crucian carp)
Lineage: Eukaryota; Metazoa; Chordata; Actinopteri; Cypriniformes; Cyprinidae
Gene name: ubiquitin carboxyl-terminal hydrolase 47-like
Exons: 19
Source: RefSeq, a predicted model, not a curated record